CCUACGGGAGGCAGCAGUGAGGAAUAUUGGUCAAUGGCCGAGAGGCUGAACCAGCCAAGUCGCGUGAGGGAAGACGGCCCUACGGGUUGUAAACCUCUUUUGUCGGGGAGCAAAGCGAACCACGUGUGGUUCAUUGAGAGUACCCGAAGAAAAAGCAUCGGCUAACUCCGUGCCAGCAGCCGCGGUAAUACGGAGGAUGCGAGCGUUGUCCGGAUUGAUUGGGUUUAAGGGGUGCGUAGGCGGUCGGAUAAGUUAGAGGUGAAAUCCCGAGGCUCAACUUCGGAAUUGCCUCUGAUACUGUUCGGCGAGAGAGUAGUUGCGGUAGGCGGAAUGUAUGGUGUAGCGGUGAAAUGCUUAGAGAUCAUACAGAACACCGAUUGCGAAGGCAGCUUACCAAGCUACUUCUGACGUUGAGGCACGAAAGCGUGGGGAGCAAACAGGAUUAGAUACCCCUGGAGUC
Molecule: ribosomal RNA, 460 nt
Filed under: uncultured bacterium
Lineage: Bacteria
Description: partial 16S ribosomal RNA
Rfam family: Bacterial small subunit ribosomal RNA
Source: RNAcentral